Molecule: transfer RNA, 76 nt
Filed under: Bacteroidia bacterium
Lineage: Bacteria; Pseudomonadati; Bacteroidota; Bacteroidia
Also listed under: 1 other name
Description: tRNA-Lys
Rfam family: tRNA
About the family: Transfer RNA (tRNA) molecules are approximately 80 nucleotides in length. Their secondary structure includes four short double-helical elements and three loops (D, anti-codon, and T loops).
Source: RNAcentral
GGCUCUGUAGCUCAGAUGGUAGAGCAACUGACUCUUAAUCAGUGGGUCCAGGGUUCGAGCCCCUGCAGGGUCACCA